RNAcentral lists this ribosomal RNA (460 nucleotides) under uncultured bacterium. RNAcentral describes it as "partial 16S ribosomal RNA". It matches the Rfam family "Bacterial small subunit ribosomal RNA", at positions 338 to 795 of the family's 1533-position model. The record is from RNAcentral.
CCUACGGGGGGCAGCAGUGAGGAAUAUUGGUCAAUGGGCGGAAGCCUGAACCAGCCAAGUCGCGUGAGGGAAUAAUGCCCUACGGGUCGUAAACCUCUUUUGCCGGGGAGCAAGGGCCGGGACGCGUCCCGUCCCGUAUAGUACCCGGAGAAAAGGCAUCGGCGAACUCCGUGCCAGCAGCCGCGGUAUUACGGAGGAUGCGAGCGUUACCCGGAUUUAUUGGGUUUAAAGGGUGCGUAGGCGGGCUUUUAAGUCAGCGGUAAAAAUGCGGGGCUCAACCCCGUCCGGCCGUUGAAACUGGGGGCCUUGAGUGGGCGAGAAGAAGGCGGAAUGCGUGGUGUAGCGGUGAAAUGCAUAGAGAUCAUGCAGAACCCCGAUUGCGAAGGCAGCCUUCCGGCGCCCUACUGACGCUGAGGCACGAAAGUGCGGGGAUCGAACAGGAUUAGAUACCCCGGUAGUC